Molecule: ribosomal RNA, 497 nt
Filed under: uncultured bacterium
Lineage: Bacteria
Description: partial 16S ribosomal RNA
Rfam family: Bacterial small subunit ribosomal RNA
Source: RNAcentral
GAUGAACGCUGGCGGCGUGCCUAAUACAUGCAAGUCGAGCGAACAGACGAGGAGCUUGCUCCUCUGACGUUAGCGGCGGACGGGUGAGUAACACGUGGAUAACCUACCUAUAAGACUGGGAUAACUUCGGGAAACCGGAGCUAAUACCGGAUAAUAUAUUGAACCGCAUGGUUCAAUAGUGAAAGACGGUUUUGCUGUCACUUAUAGAUGGAUCCGCGCCGCAUUAGCUAGUUGGUAAGGUAACGGCUUACCAAGGCAACGAUGCGUAGCCGACCUGAGAGGGUGAUCGGCCACACUGGAACUGAGCCACGGUCCAGACUCCUACGGGAGGCAGCAGUAGGGAAUCGUCCGCAAUGGGCGAAAGCCUGACGGAGCAACGCCGCGUGAGUGAUGAAGGUCUUCGGAUCGUAAAACUCUGUUAUUAGGGAAGAACAAAUGUGUAAGUAACUAUGCACGUCUUGACGGUACCUAAUCAGAAAGCCACGGCUAACUACGUG